UACACACACGCAACAAAAGGCAGCAGAUUGGAGAAAACAUAGAGGAGACAUUGGCCGAAUCACGCUCGGAGAAUUGAGGAAUUAAACAUAUACAAAACUGCUAGGGGGCUGAAAUUGGAACCUCUUGGAACUAAAAAGUGGACGGCAGAAGACAACUCACGGCCAAUCAAUGGGAAAAAGACGACAACUUUAAUUUGGACAUAAAUCACCUUUCGUCAAAUUUCGGUGAUGUCGUUCCACUUUUAUUUGUUUAAUUCUACCAUCAUGUUUAGCUAAUUCCUUUUUUAUGUAUUGGAUGAGACGAACCCUAUUGUUUAUUUAUUUCUAAUUCAAG
This 334-nucleotide long non-coding RNA is filed under the name Olea europaea (common olive). Its description in RNAcentral is "long non-coding RNA (OEUR_LNC010758)". The record is from RNAcentral. Lineage: Eukaryota; Viridiplantae; Streptophyta; Magnoliopsida; Lamiales; Oleaceae.